This 497-nucleotide ribosomal RNA is filed under the name uncultured bacterium. RNAcentral describes it as "partial 16S ribosomal RNA". It matches the Rfam family "Bacterial small subunit ribosomal RNA", at positions 28 to 507 of the family's 1533-position model. The record is from RNAcentral.
GAUGAACGCUGGCGGCGUGCCUAAUACAUGCAAGUCGAGCGAACGGACGAGAAGCUUGCUUCUCUGAUGUUAGCGGCGGACGGGUGAGUAACACGUGGAUAACCUACCUAUAAGACUGGGAUAACUUCGGGAAACCGGAGCUAAUACCGGAUGAUAUCUUGAACCGCAUGGUUCAAAAGUGAAAGACGGUCUUGCUGUCACUUAUGGAUGGAUCCGCGCUGCAUUAGCUAGUUGGUAAGGUAACGGCUUACCAAGGCAACGAUGCAUAGCCGACCUGAGAGGGUGAUCGGCCACACUGGAACUGAGACACGGUCCAGACUCCUACGGGAGGCAGCAGUAGGGAAUCUUCCGCAAUGGGCGAAAGCCUGACGGAGCAACGCCGCGUGAGUGAUGAAGGUCUUCGGAUCGUAAAACUCUGUUAUUAGGGAAGAACAUAUGUGUAAGUAACUGUGCACAUCUUGACGGUACCUAAUCAGAAAGCCACGGCUAACUACGUG